Molecule: ribosomal RNA, 433 nt
Filed under: uncultured bacterium
Lineage: Bacteria
Description: partial 16S ribosomal RNA
Rfam family: Bacterial small subunit ribosomal RNA
Source: RNAcentral
AACGAACGCUGGCGGCAUGCCUAACACAUGCCAGUCGAACGAGACCUUCGGGUCUAGUGGCGCACGGGUGCGUAACGCGUGGGAACCUGCCCUUAGGUUCGGAAUAACUCCCCGCAAGGGGUGCUAAUACCGGAUAAUGUCUUCGGACCAAAGAUUUAUCGCCUUUGGAUGGGCCCGCGUUGGAUUAGCUAGUUGGUAGGGUAAAAGCCUACCAAGGCGACGAUCCAUAGCUGGUCUGAGAGGAUGAUCAGCCACACUGGGACUGAGACACGGCCCAGACUCCUACGGGAGGCAGCAGUGGGGAAUAUUGGACAAUGGGCGAAAGCCUGAUCCAGCAAUGCCGCGUGAGUGAUGAAGGCCUUAGGGUUGUAAAGCUCUUUUAACCGGGAUGAUAAUGACAGUACCGGGAGAAUAAGCUCCGGCUAACUCCGUG